AGAAGCAAACUAGACAAUCAAGGUAUAACUGUGCGUAGGAGGAAAGAAGACGGAGUGGGGAGUAAACUGGACUGAAAUUGUAGUGAUGGAAAUGGAAGGUAGACGAGUGAGAAGGUUUGGGAGGGGACGCACUCGAUCUCAGACUCCCUCCCUCCUGCCUUUUCGUACAACCACUGUCGCCACCACCCCCAACCUCUCCAACACCAUUUCCUGUUGGUACUGCGACUAUAAAAUCUCUAUUCUCAAUCAACCCCUUUUCCUUUUUGGACGGAGACAUGCCAGGAGUUUGAGAGUAUGGUUUUCCAUUGGGAUCGGUUUUGGCCUAACUGCACUGAUUGGCGUUACUAUGCUCACUGAUUUUUCUCCCCACCAGAUCCUCCUUUGGGAAUUAGGCAAAGCCCUGUUUCUGUUCCCACCAAACACAAAGCUCGGAAAUCUUUCUACUAACUUGCUGUUCGGAUUUUCUCCCUCAGUCUCUGGUUUGAGCAUGUCGCUUGCCGAUGCUGGUUGUAUAUUUCUUUCUACCUUGAUUUCUGUAACUGUGCACGAAUUUGGGCAUGCUCUUGCCGCUGCAUGUGAGGGCAUGCAGAUGGAGUACAUUGCCAUUUUUAUUGCAGGUCUAUUUCCUGGUGCUCUGGUGGCUUUUGAUUACAAGUUGCUGCAAGCAUUGCCACAGUUUACUGCCCUUCGUGUAUAUUGUGCUGGUGUUUGGCACAAUGCAGUGUGUUGUGCAGGUUGUGGAUUGGUGCUAUUCCUCCUGCCCUUGAUCUUGUGUCCCUUCUACAUCCAUAAUGAAUGUCCCUUGGUUUUGGAUUUAUUGUCUACAUCGCCUUUGUCUCGGUAUUUGUCUCCUGGGGAUUUAAUCAUAUCGUUGGAUGGUGUUCGCAUCCAUAAUGCACAAGAGUGGAUGGAGAUGACAGCUUUAAUAGAUGAAGUGUCACUUCACAUUACAAAUCACUCCAAAUACAAAGGAGACUUUGGGAGAGUUACUGGCAGAAAAGGAUAUUGUGUCCCCAAUUUCAUGACAGAAGAUCCCGAGAAGAUUCUGUCAGUCAACAACCAAUCUGCCUGUCCUAAUGAUCUUACCGCAUUUGCAAAAAUUCCCUGUCUUGAUAUGAGAAUGUCAGAUGGUGGUAGCAGUGAAGAUGGUCAUCCAAAGAGAAGACAGGAUACCCACUGCAUGAAUGCUAAGGACAUUGUCAAGCUCAAUAAAUGUGGUGAUGGAUGGGCAACAAUAACCAAUGGAAGCAGCUGCACAUGUUCUCUGGAUGAGUCGUGCUUAAGUCCACUUUGGAUGCCAGGUUUGAGCUGGGUUGAGAUCACAUACUUGAGAUCAUCUUCCCCAGAGUGCAUGCAACUUGGAAGAAAUUCAUUUUCAAUUUCUCAGAUUUCUGAUCUUGUGGAAGCCAAAUGUCAUGGGACUUUUGUUUUUGUUGGUGAUGUGAUAUCCAUGGCAAGUUCGGUUCAUUUAACUUCUUAUCAACCUCGUUGGGCCUUUCGUUUUGGUACUAGUCUUCCAAAUGUACUUGAAAGAGUUCUGAUGUGCACAUUCCAUGUAUCUCUAACACUAGCUCUUCUCAAUAGCUUGCCAGUCUACUUUUUGGAUGGAGAAUCUCUUCUAGAGGUGACGCUAAGCCAUUUCACUUUGCUGAGCCCAUGGAAGAGGGAAAUGGUUCUCCGAGCAUGUCUUUUUGGAGGGACACUCAUUUCCCUCCUUGUCUUUGUGAGGACCUUUUUCAGUUUUUUCUAUGCCUAAGGUUGUUUACAAAUUUAUGGAAGACAAUGUGCUCCAUCUGGAUUGUUAAAAGUGUAGAAAAUACGUAGCCAAGGUCUUCAAUAAUGACUUUGUUUUGUAGGUAUCGUUUUGUUCAUAUUCCAGCUUUCUAUGGGAGUCACUUUGAUUGGGCCACUGGCACAAUAGUCUGACGCUCUGGACUUGCUUUUAUAUUGAGGAGCCAAUGCCAGCAAAUUUGACCCUUUUUAUCUUCAAGAGCACAAGUUAUGGUUAUUUAUUUACUUAUUUGUGGUGGUUCUGACCCCUCCUGCAUUUCUACAUGAAAAGGGUCGAUUUUUUUUUUUUUUUUUUUUUUUUUAAUUGCAGUAAUAUAUUUGAAAUAAACUAAACAUGACUGGUCCUCUCGUGGCAGGCCAAGUUUGCCAAUA
RNA transcript from Juglans microcarpa x Juglans regia, 2163 nucleotides. It is a transcript of the gene named membrane-bound transcription factor site-2 protease homolog, with no coding region annotated. The transcript is spliced from 12 exons. Lineage: Eukaryota; Viridiplantae; Streptophyta; Magnoliopsida; Fagales; Juglandaceae. The record is from RefSeq and is a predicted model, not a curated record.